GACGAACCGUGCAAACGUUGUUCGGAAUCACUGGGCUUAAAGGGCGCGUAGGCGGCUUGCCAAGUCAGGGGUGAAAUCUUUCGGCUUAACCGGAAAAGUGCCUCUGAUACUGGCAGGCUAGAGGGAGGUAGGGGCAUGUGGAACUUCCGGUGGAGCGGUGAAAUGCGUUGAUAUCGGAAGGAACGCCGGUGGCGAAAGCGACGUGCUGGACCUCUUCUGACGCUGAGGCGCGAAAGCUAGGGGAGCGAACGGG
RNAcentral lists this ribosomal RNA (253 nucleotides) under uncultured bacterium. RNAcentral's name for it is "partial 16S ribosomal RNA". It matches the Rfam family "Bacterial small subunit ribosomal RNA", at positions 524 to 776 of the family's 1533-position model. The record is from RNAcentral.